RNAcentral lists this ribosomal RNA (433 nucleotides) under uncultured bacterium. Its description in RNAcentral is "partial 16S ribosomal RNA". It matches the Rfam family "Bacterial small subunit ribosomal RNA", at positions 29 to 507 of the family's 1533-position model. The record is from RNAcentral.
AACGAACGCUGGCGGCAUGCCUAACACAUGCAAGUCGAACGAGACCUUCGGGGCUAGUGGCGCACGGGUGCGUAACGCGUGGGAACCUGCCCUUAGGUUCGGAAUAACUCCCCGAAAGGGGUGCUAAUACCGGAUAAUGUCUUCGGACCAAAGAUUUAUCGCCUUUGGAUGGGCCCGCGUUGGAUUAGCUAGUUGGUAGGGUAAAUGCCUACCAAGGCGACGAUCCAUAGCUGGUCUGAGAGGAUGAUCAGCCACACUGGGACUGAGACACGGCCCAGACUCCUACGGGAGGCAGCAGUGGGGAAUAUUGGACAAUGGGCGAAAGCCUGAUGCAGCAAUGCCGCGUGAGUGAUGAAGGCCUUAGGGUUGUAAAGCUCUUUUACCCGGGAUGAUAAUGACAGUACCGGGAGAAUAAGCUCCGGCUAACUCCGUG